This 376-nucleotide ribosomal RNA is filed under the name uncultured bacterium. RNAcentral's name for it is "bacterial SSU rRNA". It matches the Rfam family "Bacterial small subunit ribosomal RNA", at positions 524 to 898 of the family's 1533-position model. The record is from RNAcentral.
GACAGAGGGCGCGAGCGUUGUUCGGAAUUACUGGGCGUAAAGCGCGCGCAGGCGGACCUGUGCGUCCGGAGUGAAAUCUCGCCGCUCAACGGCGAGGCUGCUUUGGAAACGGCAGGUCUGGGGACCGGUAGAGGCUGGUAGAAUUGCAGGUGUAGCGGUGGAAUGCGUAGAGAUCUGCAAGAAUACCCGUGGCGAAGGCGGCCAGCUGGGCCGGAUCCGACGCUGAGGCGCGAAAGCGUGGGGAGCAAACAGGAUUAGAUACCCUGGUAGUCCACGCCGUAAACGAUGGGCACUAGGUGCCGGGGGGAGCGACCCCGUCGGUGCCGCAGCUAACGCGUUAAGUGCCCCGCCUGGGGAGUACGGCCGCAAGGCUGAA